Molecule: ribosomal RNA, 865 nt
Filed under: uncultured bacterium
Lineage: Bacteria
Description: bacterial SSU rRNA
Rfam family: Bacterial small subunit ribosomal RNA
Source: RNAcentral
GCUGGCGGCAGGCCUAACACAUGCAAGUCGGACGGUAACAGGAGAGAAGCUUGCUUUUCUUGCUGACGAGUGGCGGACGGGUGAGUAACGCGUGGGAAUCUACCCUUUAGUUGGGGACAACAUAUGGAAACGUAUGCUAAUACCGAAUAUGCUCUACGGAGUAAAGGUGCCCUCUCCUUGGAAGGUAUCGCUAAAGGAUGAGCCCGCGUUAGAUUAGCUAGUUGGUAGGGUAAAGGCCUACCAAGGCGACGAUCUAUAGCUGGUUUGAGAGGAUGAUCAGCCACACUGGGACUGAGACACGGCCCAGACUCCUACGGGAGGCAGCAGUGGGGAAUAUUGCACAAUGAGGGAAACCUUGAUGCAGCCAUGCCGCGUGUGUGAAGAAGGCCCGAGGGUUGUAAAGCACUUUCAAUUGUGAGGAAGAUUAAGUAGCUAAUACCUGCUUAGUUUGACGUUAACUUUAGAAGAAGCACCGGCUAACUCUGUGCCAGCAGCCGCGGUAAUACAGAGGGUGCAAGCGUUAUUCGGAAUUACUGGGCGUAAAGCGCGCGUAGGCGGACUGUUAAGUCGGUUGUGAAAGCCCUGGGCUCAACCUAGGAACUGCAUCCGAUACUGGCAAUCUAGAGUUUAAGAGAGGGAAGUGGAAUUCCAGGUGUAGCAGUGAAAUGCGUAGAUAUCUGGAGGAACAUCAGUGGCGAAGGCGACUUCCUGGCUUAAAACUGACGCUGAGGUGCGAAAGCUUGGGUAGCGAACGGGAUUAGAUACCCCGGUAGUCCAAGCCGUAAACGAUGUCAACUAGCUGUUGGUCUUAUUAAAAAGAUUAGUAGCGCAGCUAACGCGAUAAGUUGACCGCCUGGGGAGUACG